UUGAUCGUGGUUUAUCAAUCUAGCGUCCCUUGUUUGGUUUGUGGUGAGAUUGUGUUUAGACAUGCGUGCUCCGGUAGAUCUGUUGGUAGGUCACGAUGGAUUGUUUAUUUCGUUCAUCCAUUUUCUCCUUUUCAAUUGCUCGUCGAGAAUUGGGUAGUUUCCACACAUUGUCUGCCUGUUCAGGUAACCAUCAUGGGGGGUUUGUUCUUUCUUGGUGGGUUGGGAAUGGAAUAACCCGCCGAUUUCGUGUUGCAUUGCCUGCUUUUUUUUUUCACUUCUAUUUGUGUUACCCAUAUUUAUCUCUUCUGCAUGCCACAUUUUAGUUUCUAAGCACUGUUGCUUGAGAUACUUAUGCUUAUUACUCCGUCUGAAGAAUUUUCUUGUACCUAUACAAGUACUUAGAUUGGCCCUGAAAGAAGCUGUUUCUUGCUUCUGACUAACUUUGAGCUGUCAUGUGAUCUUUUUCAUUUUGAAGGUUGGGUUGUACACUUGGACUUGCAGGUCAUGCAGAGCUAUUCACACGACAUUUAUUUAUUUUUUCUGUUCUGGAGAAAACCAUAAGGACAUUCCAACUUUUUAGCUAACCAUGUAAUGCAUUACUAUGUUACUAUUAUAUACUAAGCCCCAUGUUAUGAAUGAAAGAGUUUAACUGAUAAUUCCUGCUGCCAAAUCCUGCUUGAAAGGAUUGAUCAUUUAAAAAUGUUCUGCAUUACUGCAGCAGCGUCCACUCAUGUUUCUCGCAUAUUGGCAAUCCUAUGCGGCUAUGCCCAUGGCAACCUGUUGUGUCAGAAAGGUGCACAAACAAAUUUCUCAAGGUACUGUUUAUUUUCGGGAUAAUCAUCCAAGACAAGAUCCCAAGAGCAAGCAAUUGUCUUAGCUUUAGGGAGCAAUAUGGGUCGCAGAAUCAGUAACUUUAUACACCCCUACAGCUCAUGAAAGAUUCAUGCAUUAUCAUUACACCACAUGCCUGCUGUUAUAAAAACCGCACCUGCAUGUGUCAUUGAUCAACUUCUGUUUCAAAACUCCAUUGUUAAGAGGGACAAUAAAGCUUGGACCACAUGAAUUACUCACGAAGCUGCUAAGAUAUGGGCUACAUUGAGCAAAGCUUGAGACAGCAAAGAAAUUAAGGACUUGGGCCAUACUGAUGGAACAAGAUAUGGCUUAGUCUAGACUAAUUAAUCUGGAUAUUAUUUUUCUGUGGUUAUCAACUCAUAAAAAAUGGUGAAAGAAUAGUUCGAUUAGUGCUCACCAUACAUCUAUGUAUGGUAAGCACUGGACAAACUCUGAAGCUUUGACAAUACUGCAUACUAAUUUACUGUUUGUUAUGGCUCCAUUGAUGGGUAUCUAGGUUUGUCUACUGAAAUUGAUAGUCUCAUCAAACUCCUGAAGAUUUUUAGGCAAGAGCCCUAUAUUGGCAAACAGACGUGCAACAUAAUUGGAGUGCACAGUGCUGGUACUGCAAAUAUAUGUGACAUGUUUCUGAAAUACGGAAAAACUUAAAAACUUUUUAAGGCAUUUUGCAUAUUUUAUCAAAUCCAGAAUUUAAUUCAAAUAUGUUCAAGUGUAGGAGCCCAUUGUCCUGCAGAGACUGAAUAACAAUAAGAUGAUUUUGACCCAUUCUCCCUAGAUGGGAUUUCCCCUGCCAUUUCAAUUGACAUUUUGCUAAAUUGAAUUCAAUGAUGUUUCUUCCUGCUCAACACAUUCAACAUCAAAAUUAAAUAUGUGCUUGUAUUUCUUUUAGUUGUUUUACAUAAUCGUUGUUAUACUCUCUUCCGCUUCCGUUUGUUAUAUUUUUUCUCUUUCUUGAAUCAUUUUCUUUUUUGGGUGUACUUCUGCCCUUACAUCUCAACAUUUACCCGAAAAUAGGAAUCCCUCUUUCAUGCUUGGAUGAGAACUAUUCCAUAUGAACUCUGUAGUCUUUUACUUCUUACCGUGUGUAUGCCUUACUGGCUUACUCCUUGCACAAUGUCAGCCCAGUGAUUCUCAAAUCCAAAUAGUCUGGGGAAUGUGCAAUGCAUCUGUAAACUCUUGUACUUGUUUCAUCACAUGGGAUGCCAUCAUGGCAGUGUGUACAUCUCCUGAGAACUGAGAUAGUCAUAUAGGAGAGAGUGAGAAAGAGGCUUGUACUUGGCAUUGCUUUCUUCUGUUCAACCAUGUACCAGUUCUUGAGUUCAGUGGCACGCUUGUUCAUGCAACGUGUGUCUGUCUCUGCCUGUAGCUACUUCUGGUCAUAGAUGUUGCGUUGCACAGAUGUGUACUGCCAGAAACUCUAUUCUGUCAGUAGACUACAGAUUGGAGUUUGCACGUCAGUUCAAUAAGAGCGUAUCUGUGUAUGCAAGAUGCAUGUGGCUUUGUUGCUGCAUGUGCGUCAAUCUGUGCAUACAUGACUGUUCUAAUCAGUAUUUUUGUCUCUUUAGUUGUUUUCUUGUCAUUUGAAAGCAUCUAAUCCAAGGCAUUGGCUAUUUCCAGUUCGUUGAUUUUGCAGCUGAGUUCUAUUUUAGUUGGAGUUACACCUGUUAGUUUCAGAACCCUGCAUUGAUUCUGACACUGCACUUCAGGUGGAAUAGUACCUUUUAGGCCAGAGCAGCAGUGCCACUCCUGGAUAUCACUGUUUACAACUCCUGUACUACCGAAGUGGCAAUUAAUAUUGCCUUUGAGUAUAUUGAUGUGAGGAAAGUGCUUUUCCCGACAUCAAUAUACUGUCCAACCAAUUGAAGCAUUCCCUGUUCAUUAACAUGAGGUCAUUGUAUCUUUCCGGGAAAACCAAACAACCACAGUUCCCUAGCUUUAACAUGUUCAUUGAGGAUCAGUAAUCUUCCACUCGGAUAUGUAGCCCGUUGGGAGCUUCCACUCGGGGGAACUUCAGUAUUGUGUUGGUACCUUCUUCCUGCCAUCUGCAAAGAGAAAGAUCAACACCGUGUCUUCUUUGUCAGUAAAAAGAGCCAGAUAUGCUCUGAGCAAUGGAGGAUUUUUUUUUUCAACAAGACGAACAAACCUGUAUUGAGUCACAAAAUAGUGAAGAAAAGUUGCAAUUUCCACUGUGCCGACUUCCUUCCCCGGGCACAUCCGACUACCUCCUCCGAAAAGCAUGAAGUGUGGAUGUGAUUCCAUGUUCUUCUCCUGCUUUCACUCGAGUGAAGGUCAUGGACUUGAAAUCAUUCCAGUCGAUGGCAUCCUCAGGCGCUUUCCCUUUCCUGAUAUCAAAAUGCUCUUUCUGCAGAAGUGAACAGAUCAUCAGUAAACGAGGUACUUGACCGCCAUCAUCGAAGUCGUUGACAUGGUUUCAUACCCAGAGUAUAUGAGGGUGAUGAUCAAGUCAAUGAUCUGUUCAUCACUAAGCUUUUCCCUGGUGCCCUCGACGCCGGUCAAGAGAGCAUCCAGCAUGUCGUCAUGGACCUGACCGGAGGAUCGCCGUUCGGCGAUCAUCUGCUCCAGCAUGGCCACAAACUUCUUCCUUGCCUGAAAAAGGGAGCGCUUUGUUAGAACAGUUGCUUCAGGUAGUAGUAUGAGUUUAACUGAAUACAAUCACAUAUCGGUACAAAUCUGCACUCAGAUCAUCAGCUACCUUGAACCCUUGGUAGUAGUUGGUUCCUGGAAGGUUGAUGGGCAGGGAGAUGGUGCCAAGUACAAGGGUGUACAGCUCUGCCUUGAGUGCGUCAGAAAGUGGGCCAGCAGAGACACCAGCAAUCUGCCUGAGUGCAGAUAGCAAGGCCAUCUGAAAGUGAAACCACAAGAGCUUAAACAAACACUCUACCAUGAGCUGCCAUGCAAGUAUAUGAAAUUCAGCACCACAGCCACUCCCCAACCAAAAGCAAACCAUGUACUCAUGCAGUACCACUGCUGCCACUACAAAAACAACUUCUCUUUAGACAUGUGAUGGCCAUCAUUAUGGAUAUAUAGAUUUCAUUCACUUUGGAAUAACAAUGUACUAUAAGAGAGAAUGAGAGAUGGCCUGUCUACUUUGUAUCCUUUUUUCCCUGGCUGAGGAAAGAGCUCAUCAUGGAACAAUCUCUUCUGUUAUCCAGCAGUACAAGUUCUAGAAAGCUACUAGAGAUUCCCCUUUUUGUUGGUCCAGAGAGGAAAGGGGGAUCUUCCUCCCAACCUCCCUUCUCCUUCCUUUCCUCAUUUCCCCCCAUUUCCCUUACCAGCUGCUUGCAAGAGGCACCAUCAUUCUGUCUGCUGCCAUUGGAGCAUCAACAGCAGCAGUGGAGAGUGGUAAAAUGGUAAAAGGAAAAGAAAUUUACUGUGUGGUGUGCUAGUGGUGCCACCCAUUCUUUGUUGCCAACUAGCAGCAGCAUCAGCAGCAGUGCUAAGCUAAUGUCAACACUUGAGAUUUUCUUUAAUGCAGAGUAGUAGAGUACGGUAAAAGAGACCAAGAUUUUCAACAGUGGGUCCCACAUGAAUUACCGUCCCCGAUUAAUUAUACCCAUUACUGGAGAGCAGAGCAGGUACCUCCUUGGUCUUGGCCUGGAUGUCGACGACGCCGGCGGACCAGCCGGCGAGGUGGGAGCGCAUGAAGGCGUCGAUCUUGGGGAGGAGGGAGGAGCGGAUCAUGGCGGGGCGGACGAGGGAGAGCAUGGCGCCGCGCAUGGCGCGGUGGAGCGGGCCCUGCACGGCGGCGAUGUUGUUCCGGCCGAGGAUGUCGAGCAUCGACUGCGGGUAGCCCGGGACGAAGCCGCGGCCUUCGCUGGCCAGCGCCCGACGGUUCAGCUCCGGCUCCAUGCACACCACCGUCGGGCACCCCAGGAUGUGCGUCCUGAACAAGCUCCCGUACCUGCACCAAAUCCGACCACCUCGAUUACUCACUUGACUUGUUGCUACUACUAGCAUCACUAAUCACUCAUUAGUACUCACUUUCCUUGCUGCUACUAGCAUCACUAAAAAAAAAAAAGAAGCAUAAGUGGAUGAAGGAAUGAAUGAUUGAUGGAUGCAUGCUGCUGCUAGUACAGAUUCUGUAACAACAGCAGCAGCAGCAUCAAUAAUAACAAAUGUUUGUGGUGCGGAUGUUUUUAAUU
Long non-coding RNA from Oryza brachyantha (malo sina), 5015 nucleotides. RefSeq lists it as uncharacterized. The transcript has 6 exons. NCBI's taxonomy places the organism in Eukaryota, Viridiplantae, Streptophyta, Magnoliopsida, Poales, Poaceae. The record is from RefSeq and is a predicted model, not a curated record.